RNAcentral lists this ribosomal RNA (443 nucleotides) under uncultured bacterium. RNAcentral's name for it is "partial 16S ribosomal RNA". It matches the Rfam family "Bacterial small subunit ribosomal RNA", at positions 338 to 795 of the family's 1533-position model. The record is from RNAcentral.
CCUACGGGAGGCAGCAGUGGGGAAUAUUGGACAAUGGGGGGAACCCUGAUCCAGCGACGCCGCGUGAGUGAAGAAGUAUUUCGGUAUGUAAAGCUCUAUCAGCAGGGAAGAAAGAAAUGACGGUACCUGACUAAGAAGCCCCGGCUAACUACGUGCCAGCAGCCGCGGUAAUACGUAGGGGGGAAGCGUUAUCCGGAUUUACUGGGUGUAAAGGGAGCGUAGACGGCGAUGCAAGUCUGAAGUGAAAGGCGGGGGCCCAACCCCCGGACUGCUUUGGAAACUGUAUGGCUGGAGUGCAGGAGAGGUAAGUGGAAUUCCUAGUGGAGCGGUGAAAGGCGUAGAGAUUAGGAGGAACACCAGUGGCGAAGGCGGCUUACUGGACUGUAACUGACGUUGAGGCUCGAAAGCGUGGGGAGCAAACAGGAUUAGAUACCCGAGUAGGC